Molecule: ribosomal RNA, 776 nt
Filed under: uncultured Neocallimastigales
Lineage: Eukaryota; Fungi; Neocallimastigomycota; Neocallimastigomycetes; Neocallimastigales
Description: partial large subunit ribosomal RNA
Rfam family: Eukaryotic large subunit ribosomal RNA
Source: RNAcentral
UAUGUGAUCGUCUCUCGCAUAUCAAUAAGCGGAGGAAAAGAAACUAACAAGGAUUCCCCUAGUAACGGCGAGUGAAGCGGGAAGAGCUCAAAUUUGAAAUCUUAAAGGGUUUCCCUUUACGAAUUGUAGUUUAAAGAAGUGUUUUCUGUUGAGGUUUUGGUAAAAGUUCUUUGGAAUAGGACAUCAUAGAGGGUGAGAAUCCCGUAGUUUGACCUUUACUUUCAACUUUGUGAUACACUUUCAAAGAGUCGGAUUGUUUGGGAAUGCAGUCCAAAAUGGGUGGUAAAUUUCAUCCUAAAGCUAAAUAUUGGCGAGAGACCGAUAGCGAACAAGUACCGUGAGGGAAAGAUGAAAAGAACUUUGAAAAGAGAGUUAAACAGUACGUGAAAUUGUCAAAAGGGAAGCGUUUGACACCAGUGUUGUUUUUCUGAAAAUCAAUUAAAGAACUGUUUAUGCUAAGUUGUUUAGACUUUAUCAGCUAUCUGCUUAGUUUUGAGCUUUUCUUUAAUGCACUUUUCAGUUAACAAGUCAACAUCAAUUUCUUUUGCUGUAAAAAAGCUUGAGGAAGAUGGCUUGAGAUUCGUCUUAAGUGUUUAUAGCCUCUUGCCUAUGCAGUCGGAGAGAUUGAGGUCUGCAGCGUAGAUCCUUCGGGGCUAAAUGCAUUUGUGCUAAGUUAUAGCAUUUUAUAGACAACUUGUUGACUAUGAUUUGUCUUGUAGCUUACUCGCUUAUGUUAUUUUACCUACGCUUAGGAUGUUGAAGUCAUCGUAUCGCGC